RNAcentral lists this ribosomal RNA (460 nucleotides) under uncultured bacterium. Its description in RNAcentral is "partial 16S ribosomal RNA". It matches the Rfam family "Bacterial small subunit ribosomal RNA", at positions 338 to 795 of the family's 1533-position model. The record is from RNAcentral.
CCUACGGGAGGCUGCAGUGAGGAAUAUUGGUCAAUGGACGAGAGUCUGAACCAGCAAAGUAGCGUGAAGGAUGACUGCCCUAUGGGUUGUAAACUUCUUUUAUAUGUGAAUAAAAUGUUCCACGUGUGGGAUUUUGUAUGUACCAUAUGAAUAAGGAUCGGCUAACUCCGUGCCAGCAGCCGCGGUACUACGGAGGAUCCGAGCGUUAUCCGGAUUUAUUGGGUUUAAAGGGAGCGUAGGUGGAUUGUUAAGUCAGUUGUGAAAGUUUGCGGCUCAACCGUAAAAUUGCAGUUGAAACUGGCAGUCUUGAGUACAGUAGAGGUGGGCGGAAUUCGUGGUGUAGCGGUGAAAUGCUUAGAUAUCACGAAGAACUCCGAUUGCGAAGGCAGUUCACUGGACUGCAACUGACACUGAGGCUCGAAAGUGUGGGUAUCAAACAGGAUUAGAUACCCUGGUAGUC